This is a long non-coding RNA of Homo sapiens (human), 1669 nucleotides long. RefSeq annotates it as long independently transcribed non-coding RNA 2448. The transcript is spliced from 3 exons. Lineage: Eukaryota; Metazoa; Chordata; Mammalia; Primates; Hominidae. The record is from RefSeq and is a predicted model, not a curated record.
GAACAACUAUCCUGAGCUGCUGUUCAUGAUUCAGGUUGGCAUCAAUCAAAUUGGAAGCACAUGAAUUAUACAUUAUUGUUUCUGAGCCACAGACAUGAAGAAUGGGAACACUACCAUUGCAUCUCCCAGCCCCAGAGAAGGAUGUUCACUCCCAUGUUCUCACCUUUUCUUCAUCUUUAUUUGAUGGCUAUAACUUUGUCAUUCAUAUUUUUUAAAAAUCGUGGGUGGAUGUUUUGGAUUUUUUUAAGAUAUACAGUAAAUACCAACUUCUUAAAUUUUCCCUCGCUGCUUCCAGAGGAGGCUGGUAUAUUUUUUCUCUGUUCAACAACGAGAGAAGUAUCAAGUUUUAGUUAUCUUCUACAGCACAUCUUUUGAGUAAAGACAUGCAAGUAGUACUGAAACGACUGCAAUGUGAUAAUCACGGAGACUGGACUGGUUCAACAUCCAGAUGUUUCGAUUUUUUUGAUAAAUCAAUCUCCAAGGUUCAGCUCAUUCACAGUGUGAGGCUACUUACCUGUUCAAAGUACAUCACUUUUGUCCUCCAGUUUUCAUAUUGGCUUCCUGUCAAGGUUUGCAUUGAUUUUAAAGUUUUAUUGUUGACGUUUAAAGCACUUAAUGGCCUGAUACCUUCUUACAUUAAUGAUUUGCUUAUCCCUAUGGGACAAGAAUAAAUUUUGAGAUGUACUUUUGCUAGCUGGAUGUCAGUCUUAAAUGUCACCUUGAGAUUCAGAGUGCAAAGGCUUACUGUCUUUUGUUCACAUUCUUUUUGAGAUCAGAUAAGACAUCAGAAAGAAAAUAACACAACUUUUCUAAAGGUCAGUGGGACAUCACAGAAAAAUGAUGUAUCAAGACCUUCGGUUAAUCAAAUUAAUGUAAGUUUUCAAGUUCUCAAAUAAGAUUUGUAAUGGGCAAAGCAAAAUGACUAAAGCCUCUAUCUAGAAAAGUAACAAUACAAACGUUAAAUCUAUGAAAUGCAGAAAUUAUUAAAAUAAUACUCUUAUUUUGAAAACUUGGAAAAUAUGCUAUGUUCCUGAGUGAAAAAAUAUUUUGCUUAUUCUUCUCUCAAAGUCAAUCUCUCAAGGAAUUUUAAAAAAUUUUUAGAUAAGUAUGAUAAAUUGCAUGGAUGGAAAAAUGCUGUAAUAUAUUCUAGAAUCAAUCACAAAUAGUCUUUUUUAAUUUGGUGUUUAAUUUUGAAGACUAGGUUAUGCUGUAUUUGUGUCAGAUUGCUUUGUUUAAUGACACAUGAUUAAUGCCAAGCAUAGUCUAGUUUAUUUUUUAAGAAAAUAACUGUUUUUUGUGAGUGUAAAGUAUUAAAAGAUAAUAUAGAAAAUCAGCUGUUUAUGACCUGGUACACUUUAUAAAAGGAAUUGUAAUUCAUGAUAUAGAGAAAACUAUUUUGUAUACCCUAGUACCAUUAUCAAUCUAUCUUAUUUCUAAAAUAAGUCUUUAUUUCUAAAAGCUAUCUAGCUUGCUAGCUAAUCUCUCUGAUCUACCUACCCACCUAUCCAACUACUAGUUUUGUAUCUCAGUCCAUUGCCUUUUCUGUCACUUGCCAUAUCGAUAUUUGAUACCUGGUGACUUAGUAUAAAUCAAAUUUUGUGCACAUAAAACAAAGUACAAGAAAGUGUUUUUAAAAUAUUAAGUGCCGAAUAAAUUACAUAUUACCAUA